CAGUACAUGUCUCAGACCGUGACUGGCUGUGGCCAGGGGAUCCUGGAGUGCAUGCAAGAGCAACCUGGGAGACUGACCACAGGUCAGCACAAGACCUGCAGCUGCCACUUGCCUUUCCUAUAAUG
Molecule: small nucleolar RNA, 125 nt
Filed under: Carlito syrichta (Philippine tarsier)
Lineage: Eukaryota; Metazoa; Chordata; Mammalia; Primates; Tarsiidae
Description: Small nucleolar RNA SNORA44 (ENSTSYG00000028642.1)
Rfam family: Small nucleolar RNA SNORA44
About the family: ACA44 is a member of the H/ACA class of snoRNA that guide the sites of modification of uridines to pseudouridines.
Source: Rfam by way of RNAcentral